GGGUCUUGCCCCAAAAAGAUAAAUAAUUCAACAUCGAGGUCAUAAUCUUUUUCUUCUAUAAGAACUUUAAGAAAAAAUUGUGCUGUUAUCCCUACGGUAACUUAAUUGAUUCCCAGAUUGGGGAUAGAGAAAGACGGAAGAAAAAGAUUUAGUUUUUUACCGCCCCAGUCCAACAGAAGUAAAGUUCGAUAGGGUCUUGUCGUCCUUCUUUGUCAUACAAGUCUUUUUACUUGAAGGAAAAGUUAAAAUAGUUUAGGUAAUAAAGAAAUUUAUAUGUCAAACCUUUCAUGCUAGCCUUCAAUUGAAAGGCAAAUGAUUACGCUACCUUAGCACAAAAAUUGCGGCUAUUGAAUAAAUCAUUGAGCAGGCCCUACUGAAUAUAAGGUCAUUCAGAAAUGUUUUUGAUAAACAGACAAUAAAUAUGAAGGCCGAGUUCAUGAACCUGAAUGUGGAUUUUAUUGAUAAAGGUGUAUUAACAAAAGAAAGUUAGGUAUAUUUUACUAAUAAAGUCAUUGUGAAGAUUAUCAGAAAGGUUACUUUUAAUGGGAUUCUUAGAAAAAAAUGGGAAAGUUUUUAAACUUGGAGGAUACUGUUAAUCCUAGCGUUUGGAAAGAAAUAAAAUGACUAAUUUUUAAAAAAGUUUGUCCCUUUUUAAAUUUUGGUAUUAUUACCUUCAAAGAGAACCAGAUAUUAUAGAAUGCGGGUGGAAUUUCAUCUCUAUAUCUUCUUUAGAAAACUUUAUGCAACAAGCUUGAUAAGGAGGAAUAGAUCAUUUCAAUUUCGGGAGCAUUUAUUAAAAAUAGGAGAUUGAUUUUCCCUGAUACUAAAGGUACAUUACCUUUCUAUUUAACAAUUGAGAAAUUUUCCCUCACGGUUAAAUAGGGUUAAGAAAAAAAACGUAAAGUAUAAAAUAUUUAUUUAAAUAAGAAUUUAAAAACAAGAU
Molecule: ribosomal RNA, 943 nt
Filed under: Aptostichus atomarius
Lineage: Eukaryota; Metazoa; Arthropoda; Arachnida; Araneae; Euctenizidae
Description: partial 16S ribosomal RNA
Source: RNAcentral